GGGGCUCCCACAGUGCAGCGGCGGGCUGAAGGGCUCCUCAAGCGCGGCCAGAGUGGGCGCCAAGGCGAAGGAGGCGCCCAGAGCGAGUGAGGGCUGUGAGGGCUGCCAGGAUGCUGUCAUCUCUCAAUAACACGAUAAACACAGUGUUGGAGCGUAGGCCUGGAUAACUCCAAGACUCCCUCCCACUUGGUGUGUUAUAGACUUAUAAGUCUGAAAAGGAGAGUCAAGUCUGACAAUUAAGAACAAGUGUUUGAGGAGAAACUGGCAAUCAAUUAAAGAGGCUGAAAACAACUGUGCAACCUUCAAACAAGCUCUCAGAUUGUAUCUCUCAGGAGAGGCACCUUCACACCAACACAUGUGUCCAUGAUUUUCCAGUGGGCUCAAUCAUUACCAACUAAAUGCCAACCCCCAGAAAGGACACCUCACUUUUACACACUUCUGUUGGCCAAGGCAAGUCAAAUAGCAAUACCUAACAUUAAGAGAGCAGGGCUGGGUGCAGCGGCUCACGCCUGUAAUCCUAGUACUUUGGGAGGCCAAGGCGGGUGGAUUGCCUGAGUUCAGGAGUUCGAUAUCAGCCUGGGGAACAUGGUGAAACCUCAUCUCUACUAAAAAUACAAAAAAUUAGCUGGGCGUAGCAGCGUGCACCUGUAAUCCCAGUUACUUGGGAGGCUGAGAGAGGAGAAUCGCUUGAAUCCGGGAGGCAGAGGUUGCGGUGAGCUGAGAUCGCACCAUUGCAUUCCAGCCUGGGUGACAAAGCCAGACUCCAUCUCAAAACAAAACAAAACAAAACAAAAAAAACAGGUCAGCAAAAUUCUUCAAAAGUAAAAAGUAUUUGCACAGGCACACACAGCAGUAAUGUCUACAACCCAGACCAGGUACCAAAAAGCACUUCAUUGGCCGGGCGCGGUGGCUCACACCUGUAAUCCCAGCACUUUGGGAGGCCAAGAUGGGCAGAUCACGAGGUCAGGAAAUUGAGACCAUCCUGGCUAACAUGGUGAAACCCCAUCUCUAAUAAAAAUACAAAAAAAUUAGCUGGGCGUGGUGGCAGGCGCCUGUAGUCCCAGCUACUUGGGAGGCUGAGGGAGGAGAAUGGUGUGAACCUGAGAGGCGGAGCUUGUAGUGAGCCAAGAUCACGCCCCUGCACUCCAGCCUGGGUGACAGAGCAAGACUCCAUCUCAAAAAAAAAAAAAAAAAAAAAA
Molecule: long non-coding RNA, 1199 nt
Organism: Homo sapiens (human)
Lineage: Eukaryota; Metazoa; Chordata; Mammalia; Primates; Hominidae
Source: Ensembl